ACCCAAGAGGGGCGUUUAGUCGUAGCGGACUGGAAUUGGCUGCGACCUGCAUUAGACGUAGCGGAACUAGACAUCAAGUCUGCGAGGUGGUCCCUUAAGGUCGCUUGGCCUCGAGUGGUUUGUUUGUUUGUUUGUUUUUUACUGCGUGCCCAAUCGCUCCUAUUCCCUCAGCUCCCAGCAACCCCAGUUCAACCGUUUUCCCCUGGCUGUAGCGCUAGCGGCCUGUCGAAAGCAGUCCUCACUGGUGGGACCUGGGCCUCUCCACCCUGCUGUGUACACGCUUACCAGCGGGGGUCUUGUCUGACGACCCCUGGCUUCCUUUCUUGGUCUUUGCAUACGCUCCCUAAGUGCCGCGGCCGUCCCCGGAGCCUUUCCGGUUGCCUUAGUGCGCACGCGCCCCUUGGGUCUGGGCUUUGCCGACCGUCCCUAGGCUUCUGUCGCUCGCCACCUCCCGUUGGUUUAUGA
This 465-nucleotide long non-coding RNA is filed under the name Mus musculus (house mouse). Its description in RNAcentral is "RIKEN cDNA A730061H03 gene (ENSMUSG00000053588.6)". Lineage: Eukaryota; Metazoa; Chordata; Mammalia; Rodentia; Muridae. The record is from RNAcentral.